UUUACUGCUGGUGAUGCUGGGACUCUUUGCUCGGGAAUCAAUGGCAGACAUAGUUCUGACUCAGGAUCCAACAGUUCGAUGUGUUCAGCUGGGAGACACUGUCUCUAUCAGCUGUACAGUCAGUCAGAGCGUUUACACCAACUCCAAUAGCCAGUAUCUUUACUGGUACCUGCAGAAACCUGGUCAGGCUCCUAAACCUCUGAUUUAUCUUGCCACAAGUCGCCAGACUGGGAUUCCUGAUCGUUUCAGUGGGAGUGGAUCUGGCACUCAGUUUACACUGAAAAUCACUGGAGUCCAGGCUGAAGAUGCAGGAGAUUAUUACUGUCAGAGUGACCACUACAUCAACAGUAAAACUAUACUCACACAGUGAUACAGAGCCAUACAAAAACCUCCCUCAGUCAGACUGCA
Non-coding RNA from Anguilla anguilla (European eel), 408 nucleotides. The record is from the annotation of a RefSeq genome assembly. Lineage: Eukaryota; Metazoa; Chordata; Actinopteri; Anguilliformes; Anguillidae.